UACGUAGGGUGCGAGCGUUAAUCGGAAUUACUGGGCGUAAAGCGUGCGCAGGCGGUUCGUCGUGUCCGAUGUGAAAGCCCCGGGCUCAACCUGGGAAUGGCAUUGGAAACUGGCGGACUCGAGUGUGGCAGAGGGGGGUGGAAUUCCGCGUGUAGCAGUGAAAUGCGUAGAGAUGCGGAGGAACACCGAUGGCGAAGGCAGCCCCCUGGGCUAAC
This 215-nucleotide ribosomal RNA is filed under the name uncultured bacterium. RNAcentral describes it as "partial 16S ribosomal RNA". It matches the Rfam family "Bacterial small subunit ribosomal RNA", at positions 524 to 738 of the family's 1533-position model. The record is from RNAcentral.